ACUGCGUCUCGCCAGCUCGGCACACCCCUCACGACUCUCCACCCUUGUGUGGGCGUGGCUGUCUGCCCAAUUUCUCCCUAACCCCACGGGACGCCAGCCUGGGAGAGGAGCAGCCCCCUGAGCUGCUAAAGACCCCUCAUCACCAGCUGGACCUACGGGGCAGGGAGCUGGUGUUGGGGAGAGGGCAGAUCCGCUCAGGGAGCCCAGGAACCUCUGGCCUCACUGCCUCAUCACCUGGCAUUCAAGGCCCGCUGCCAUCUCUAUCUUCCGUGGUUCUGAGUAUUUUGUGCCCCACCUGGACCUCGUUCUCUGGGCUCUGAGUCUUUGUUGAGGUAUCUCUGUGCCCAGGAUGCUCCUCCCUCUCCCUUUUUUGGCGCCUCCAGGAAGCCUGCCCUGAUGGCCCAGGUUGGCAAUGAACUCUCACUGUCCACUGGCCUGGAGGCUUCAGACCCUCUUCUCUGCCCUUUGGGAAAAUCUGGACAGUUUGUGCUUCUCUGGUCCUGCAGCAUUUCUUCUGUUCAGUAGUAUGGUCAGGGCCUGCCGGACCUGUGGUCUCCUUCUUUCGGAACCCAAAGAUGUGGUUGCUCUGGGCCUUGGGAGGAGAGAGCUGUGAGGAGCUUCCCAGGAUCGGCUUCAGGGCAGACACUGUCUCCUGGUAUGACCCUCCUACCAUUUCCCCAGCUCCUCACCGUGCAUUCGAGGCAAUUCACUUUCCAGGAGCCCCAGGAGGCAGAUCCCACCCUUGCCAGCCCCACCCCUGGGACCAGAGGAGGGCCUGUCUGUGGGCAUCGGUCUGUGGGCGUGGGGCAGGCCCGUCCAAGGAUUUCUCUGAAGCUUCUGUGAGAAGCUCACACCCAAGCAGACCCUGGAGCCCAGGGCUCCUCUCACACAACAUUCCACACGUUUUGCAGAUGAAUGGAGCUGGACAUCGGCCGCUUGGUCAUUGGUGACAUGAACACGCUGGCAGCUGGGGGGUUGUGGGUACCCCACAGCACACGAGCUUCUUGGCCCACAGGGCAAAACCUAUUUUUACCCCCUAGUUCAUUAAUUUUCCCACCUUCAGCACCUUGGCGUCUCUGUCUUUAUUGAGCAAUGCUGGUAAUCCUGAGAAGCAGCGAGUGUGUUGGAAAGAACACUGACCUGAAAAGAACAGACAACCUACUGCCUGGGCCCAUGGCUGCCACUCACUAGGCCUCAGUUUCCUCAUCUGUAAAAUGGCUCUGUGGCUCUGGGUACAGAUGAUGAAAUCACAGGAGGGAAGAGGCAGGAAUGGGGCCCACAAUGCCUUUAGGUCCGAAAGGGCAAAGACGCGUCUGCCUUCCUGAAGCAUGAAGCUCAGUAAGGUGAAGGGGCAGCUCUUGUUGCCACGACCCUGGCAGGCCUUCAAAAAGCAAUCUGCCCUCUUUAGGGGGUGAAUUGGGGCAGGAGACAGCUUGGAGAGGAGCCACGUGGUUGCUGUGUAGAGCAGUGGGGGCGUGCUCCCCACCACACCCCCUCCUGCAAGAAGCCAGUCCAAGGAAGGAAGGAAGCCGGUUGUCUGGAGGCUGCCGGAGGGCCAUCAAGUGCUGCCGCAGCCAGAUUAAAGAUUUUCUCCGGGUAUUGUCUUCCCAUUAGCAGCUGAGCCCUGAGGGUGAUUCGGGCAGAGACCACAGAACCAGGGACCGGGAGCUCAGUGUCAUUUCCCCUCCGAUCAGUCACAGGCUGAGUAAAGACAACUCAGCAGAUGGAUGAGCAGACCCCCUACGGCUCCCAGCAUCCCAAGGAGGGCCCUGCUGAGAAGGUUGAGAUAGCCGGGGAACCGAGUCGGUCCUUCCUGCCGGCCUCCGCCAAGGGGAGGAGAGCCCUGGCUGGAAGGGGGCCCUGCCAUCCCCUAAAGUCACCGGUGUCUAAUGCCAAUGCUCUUGGACAGCCUUUGGCCACCAACAGAGAGAGGCACGCUCUUUCACAAAUAGAUACCACAUACAUGGGAAGAGUGGGUACACGCUUAGGUUACAGUGACAAUGAG
Molecule: non-coding RNA, 2005 nt
Organism: Phascolarctos cinereus (koala)
Lineage: Eukaryota; Metazoa; Chordata; Mammalia; Diprotodontia; Phascolarctidae
Source: RefSeq, a predicted model, not a curated record